GACACGGUGGCCUAACGGUUAGCGUGUUGGACUCCGGAUCGAGCGGUCCAUGCUCGAGCACUGGCUGCGGUCA
This is a non-coding RNA of Desmophyllum pertusum, 73 nucleotides long. Lineage: Eukaryota; Metazoa; Cnidaria; Anthozoa; Scleractinia; Caryophylliidae. The record is from the annotation of a GenBank genome assembly.